This 253-nucleotide ribosomal RNA is filed under the name uncultured bacterium. RNAcentral's name for it is "partial 16S ribosomal RNA". It matches the Rfam family "Bacterial small subunit ribosomal RNA", at positions 524 to 776 of the family's 1533-position model. The record is from RNAcentral.
UACGUAGGGUGCAAGCGUUGUCCGGAAUUAUUGGGCGUAAAGAGCUCGUAGGCGGUCUGUCGCGUCGGAUGUGAAAACCCAGGGCUCAACCCUGGGCCUGCAUUCGAUACGGGUUGGCUGGAGUUCGGUAGGGGAGACUGGAAUUCCUGGUGUAGCGGUGAAAUGCGCAGAUAUCAGGAGGAACACCAACGGCGAAGGCAGCUCGCUGGGACGGUACUGACGCUGAGGCGCGAAAGCCAGGGGAGCGAACGGG